GAAUGUCUUCGGAUGUUUGAGACCGGCGCACGGGUGCGUAACACGAUGCAACCUACCUUUUACUGGGGAAUAGCCCGAAGAAAUUCGGAUUAAUGCCCCAUAUGCUCGUACAAUCGCAUGAUUGAGCGAGGAAAGCUCCGGCGGUAAAAGAUGGGCAUGCGUCCUAUUAGCUUGUUGGUGAGGUAAUGGCUCACCAAGGCUACGAUAGGUAGGGGACCUGAGAGGGUGAACCCCCACACUGGUACUGAGACACGGACCAGACUCCUACGGGAGGCAGCAGUGAGGAAUAUUGGGCAAUGGAGGAAACUCUGACCCAGCCAUGCCGCGUGCAGGAAGACGGCCCUCUGGGUUGUAAACUGCUUUUAUAUGGGAAUAAACCCUUCCACGUGUGGAAGGCUGA
This 400-nucleotide ribosomal RNA is filed under the name uncultured bacterium. RNAcentral's name for it is "bacterial SSU rRNA". It matches the Rfam family "Bacterial small subunit ribosomal RNA", at positions 72 to 472 of the family's 1533-position model. The record is from RNAcentral.